GGACACCUUUCGUGCUCUGUUGAGCCUCCGUUGGCUGCCUUUUCACCUUCUAAAUCACCAUCACCAUGGGUUUGGCUCUUGCUCUCCAUUGAUGACCACCAAAAACAGAUGCAAGAAGUCCUCUCUCUCCCUUUCUUAUCUGUAGGCCGUGGCCAAGAACGAUACUCUUGGAUUGAAAAGCGUAAGAGCAGAGUGAGUUUGUUUUAUAGGAGAGAUGGUGGUGAUUAGUUUUAUGACUAAAAUGCCCUUCGUGAAGUGAAUAUUUUUUCUUUAAGAUGAUUUGGAGUCGCCAUGUUGGUCUUAAACGCAAGCAUCCUACGAGUGGAA
Molecule: unclassified non-coding RNA, 327 nt
Filed under: Hevea brasiliensis (rubber tree)
Lineage: Eukaryota; Viridiplantae; Streptophyta; Magnoliopsida; Malpighiales; Euphorbiaceae
Source: RNAcentral